UACGUAGGUGGCAAGCGUUGUCCGGAAUUAUUGGGAGUAAAGCGCGCGCAGGCGGCCUCUUAAGUCUGAUGUGAAAGCCCCCGGCUCAACAGGGGAGGUCCAUUGGAAACUGGGAGGCUUGAGUAUAGGAGAGAAGAGAGGAAUUCAACGUGUAGCGGUGAAAUGCGUAGAGAUGUGGAGGAACACCAGUGGCGAAGGCGACUCUUUGGCCUAUAACUGACGCUGAGGCGCGAAAGCGUGGGGAGCAUACAGG
Molecule: ribosomal RNA, 253 nt
Filed under: uncultured bacterium
Lineage: Bacteria
Description: partial 16S ribosomal RNA
Rfam family: Bacterial small subunit ribosomal RNA
Source: RNAcentral